UACGGAGGAUGCGAGCGUUAUCCGGAUUUAUUGGGUUUAAAGGGUGCGUAGGCGGGAUGCCAAGUCAGCGGUAAAAAUGCGGUGCUCAACGCCGUCGAGCCGUUGAAACUGGCGUUCUUGAGUGGAAGAGAAGUAUGCGGAAUGCGUGGUGUAGCGGUGAAAUGCAUAGAUAUCACGCAGAACCCCGAUUGCGAAGGCAGCAUGCCGGCUUCCUACUGACGCUGAAGCACGAAAGCGUGGGGAUCGAACAGG
RNAcentral lists this ribosomal RNA (252 nucleotides) under uncultured bacterium. RNAcentral describes it as "partial 16S ribosomal RNA". It matches the Rfam family "Bacterial small subunit ribosomal RNA", at positions 524 to 776 of the family's 1533-position model. The record is from RNAcentral.